RNAcentral lists this ribosomal RNA (1240 nucleotides) under Staphylococcus aureus. RNAcentral's name for it is "partial 23S ribosomal RNA". It matches the Rfam family "Bacterial large subunit ribosomal RNA", at positions 1598 to 2841 of the family's 2925-position model. Lineage: Bacteria; Bacillati; Bacillota; Bacilli; Caryophanales; Staphylococcaceae. The record is from RNAcentral.
UUUCACACUGCCGAGAAAAGCCUCUAGAUAGAAAAUAGGUGCCCGUACCGCAAACCGACACAGGUAGUCAAGAUGAGAAUUCUAAGGUGAGCGAGCGAACUCUCGUUAAGGAACUCGGCAAAAUGACCCCGUAACUUCGGGAGAAGGGGUGCUCUUUAGGGUUAACGCCCAGAAGAGCCGCAGUGAAUAGGCCCAAGCGACUGUUUAUCAAAAACACAGGUCUCUGCUAAACCGUAAGGUGAUGUAUAGGGGCUGACGCCUGCCCGGUGCUGGAAGGUUAAGAGGAGUGGUUAGCUUCUGCGAAGCUACGAAUCGAAGCCCCAGUAAACGGCGGCCGUAACUAUAACGGUCCUAAGGUAGCGAAAUUCCUUGUCGGGUAAGUUCCGACCCGCACGAAAGGCGUAACGAUUUGGGCACUGUCUCAACGAGAGACUCGGUGAAAUCAUAGUACCUGUGAAGAUGCAGGUUACCCGCGACAGGACGGAAAGACCCCGUGGAGCUUUACUGUAGCCUGAUAUUGAAAUUCGGCACAGCUUGUACAGGAUAGGUAGGAGCCUUUGAAACGUGAGCGCUAGCUUACGUGGAGGCGCUGGUGGGAUACUACCCUAGCUGUGUUGGCUUUCUAACCCGCACCACUUAUCGUGGUGGGAGACAGUGUCAGGCGGGCAGUUUGACUGGGGCGGUCGCCUCCUAAAAGGUAACGGAGGCGCUCAAAGGUUCCCUCAGAAUGGUUGGAAAUCAUUCAUAGAGUGUAAAGGCAUAAGGGAGCUUGACUGCGAGACCUACAAGUCGAGCAGGGUCGAAAGACGGACUUAGUGAUCCGGUGGUUCCGCAUGGAAGGGCCAUCGCUCAACGGAUAAAAGCUACCCCGGGGAUAACAGGCUUAUCUCCCCCAAGAGUUCACAUCGACGGGGAGGUUUGGCACCUCGAUGUCGGCUCAUCGCAUCCUGGGGCUGUAGUCGGUCCCAAGGGUUGGGCUGUUCGCCCAUUAAAGCGGUACGCGAGCUGGGUUCAGAACGUCGUGAGACAGUUCGGUCCCUAUCCGUCGUGGGCGUAGGAAAUUUGAGAGGAGCUGUCCUUAGUACGAGAGGACCGGGAUGGACAUACCUCUGGUGUACCAGUUGUCGUGCCAACGGCAUAGCUGGGUAGCUAUGUGUGGACGGGAUAAGUGCUGAAAGCAUCUAAGCAUGAAGCCCCCCUCAAGAUGAGAUUUCCCAACUUCGGUUAUAAGAUCCCUCAA